Molecule: long non-coding RNA, 449 nt
Filed under: Mytilus galloprovincialis (Mediterranean mussel)
Lineage: Eukaryota; Metazoa; Mollusca; Bivalvia; Mytilida; Mytilidae
Source: RNAcentral
CAACAAAAGCGUAUCGAAUUAACGAGAUUUUUUUUAAUUUUGAAGAAAAAAGAUAGAUUGAAUAAAAUCGCAAGUACAUUGAAAUUCAAAUUAUAUUGAAAAUUAUGUCCUCAUAUUUUAUAUUUUAAUAUCAUCUUCCAAUGUUUUAGAUUUUGACUACAUAUAUAUUGUGUAUAUUGUCCCGUAUAAUUUGUCUUUCUGGUUUAGUUUUCCGGUGACAGUUUAACAAUAUUAUUAUAUAUCUAAUGCAAUUUUUUAUCCUAGAUAUGUAGCUUUUAAACGGAAAAAUCCUCUUUAUGCUUUGAUAGCUACUAGCAUUUAAUUCUAGCACCCCACUUUUUCCACAGGAACAAAAAAUAUUUACAUGUGUAAUAACAGUCAACUUUUUUGUCAGAAUGUAGCCCUCUAAGACCUUUUUCUCAGGAUACUAAAUCCAUUCAAUAUCAAAC